AAAGUUACAAUCUCAAUAUGAUACAGACCCAAAGGAGUAAACAUAACCAAACCAUAGUGCUCAUAAAUAAUAUUAAAAAAAAAAAAGAGAAACACAUCAAAGCAUAUAUAUAUAUUUAAGAGCACACUUCUCUGCUUGCAAACACAAGAUAAUAUAGAAAGUUUUCACACCACAGAUACUGGCAGAGAGAACGGAAGAAGCUAAAGAUCAACACACGCUUGAACCAGACACGGACAUGAAGAAGGAAACAUAGUUUCUGAGUUUCAGAUCUUGUCAAGCUUAUCUGCCUUCACAACCGGGUUCGCUUUGGCUAUAGCUUCUUGCGCAGCAACAUGGUAAUCGAAAGAGCAGUUAUGAACGUCUGCAUAGCGGUGCGUACCACAGAAGAGGUCACCACAUCGACAUUUGAAUCCAGUCAAACCAACCCGUUUGUUGCAAGUAGUACAUCGGCUGGGCCCUUCCUUUGGUUUUGCUGCAGCUUCUUCUGGUGCUACUACCUCUGCAACAGCUUGUACAGAGACAGCCACAGGCUCGAUGGAUUUGGUUCCAGCAUCAACCAAAUCAGCAGUGAAGGUUUCCUUUAGGAUGUUGCUGGGUGAUCCAGACACUGCAGAUGCAAGCUUGGCCCCCUGUUCCUGUUGAAACAAGAUAGUCUUGUGGCACUUGGAACACAUGUUCAUUGUGGCAGCGCUUCCGAAGAAACCGCAGU
This 709-nucleotide long non-coding RNA is filed under the name Brassica rapa (field mustard). RNAcentral's name for it is "long non-coding RNA (BRAP_LNC004001)". Lineage: Eukaryota; Viridiplantae; Streptophyta; Magnoliopsida; Brassicales; Brassicaceae. The record is from RNAcentral.